This 483-nucleotide ribosomal RNA is filed under the name uncultured bacterium. RNAcentral describes it as "partial 16S ribosomal RNA". It matches the Rfam family "Bacterial small subunit ribosomal RNA", at positions 28 to 507 of the family's 1533-position model. The record is from RNAcentral.
GACGAACGCUGGCGGCGUGCUUAACACAUGCAAGUCGAACGCUGAAGCUCAGCUUUUGUUGGGUGGAUGAGUGGCGAACGGGUGAGUAACACGUGAGUAACCUGCCCACUUCUUUGGGAUAACGCCCGGAAACGGGUGCUAAUACUGGAUAUUCACUGGUCUUCGCAUGGGGGUUGGUGGAAAGGGUUUUUCUGGUGGGGGAUGGGCUCGCGGCCUAUCAGCUUGUUGGUGGGGUGAUGGCCUACCAAGGCUUUGACGGGUAGCCGGCCUGAGAGGGUGACCGGUCACAUUGGGACUGGGAUACGGCCCAGAGUGCUACGGGAGGCAGCAGUGGGGAAGAUUGCACAAUGGGCGCAAGCCUGAUGCAGCGACGCCUCGUGAGGGAUGGAGGCCUGCGGGUUGUGAACCUCUUUCGCGCAUGGUCAAUCCGCAACAAUGGUUGUGGUGAGGGUAGUGGGUAAAGAAGCGCCGGCUAACUACGUG